AUACAGAGGGUGCGAGCGUUAAUCGGAAUUACUGGGCGCAAAGCGCGCGUAGGCGGCUACUUAAGUCAGAUGUGAAAUCCCCGGGCUCAACCUGGGAAUUGCAUUCGAUACUGGUUAGCUAGAGUGUGGGAGAGGAUGGUAGAAUUCCAGGUGUAGCGGUGAAAUGCGUAGAGAUCUGGAGGAAUACCGAUGGCGAAGGCAGCCAUCUGGCCUAACACUGACGCUGAGGUGCGAAAGCAUGGGGAGCAAACAGGAUUAGAUACCCGCGUAGUCC
This 274-nucleotide ribosomal RNA is filed under the name uncultured bacterium. RNAcentral describes it as "partial 16S ribosomal RNA". It matches the Rfam family "Bacterial small subunit ribosomal RNA", at positions 523 to 796 of the family's 1533-position model. The record is from RNAcentral.